RNAcentral lists this ribosomal RNA (468 nucleotides) under uncultured bacterium. RNAcentral's name for it is "partial 16S ribosomal RNA". It matches the Rfam family "Bacterial small subunit ribosomal RNA", at positions 28 to 507 of the family's 1533-position model. The record is from RNAcentral.
GACGAACGCUGGCGGCGUGCUUAACACAUGCAAGUCGAACGGAAAGGCCCCGCUUUUUGGGGGUGUUCGUGUGGCGAACGGGUGUGAAACAUGUGAAUAUCCCGCUCAUGACUUUGAGAUAACUUGAAGAAACGGUCUCAAACACGCUAUUGGAGCUCCUGCCGUGUGGUGUGUUUUGGAAAGUUUCAGCGUUUGGGUAUAGACGCGCGGCUUAACCGCCUGUUGGUGGGGUAGUGGCAUACCAAGGCUUUGACGGGUAGCCGGGCUGAGAGGGUGACCGGCGACACUGGGACUGAGACACGGCCCAGACUCCUACGGGAGGCAGCAGUGGGGAAUAUUGCACAAUGGGCGGAAGCCUGAUGCAGCGACGCCGCGUGCGGGAUGACGGCCUUCGGGUUGUAAACCGCUUUCGAUAGGGAUGAAGCGAGAGUGACGGUAGCUGCUGAAGAAGCACAGGCUAACUACGUG